This 253-nucleotide ribosomal RNA is filed under the name uncultured bacterium. RNAcentral's name for it is "partial 16S ribosomal RNA". It matches the Rfam family "Bacterial small subunit ribosomal RNA", at positions 524 to 776 of the family's 1533-position model. The record is from RNAcentral.
UACGUAGGGUGCAAGCGUUGUCCGGAUUUAUUGGGCGUAAAGAGCUCGUAGGCGGUUUGUCGCGUCUGCUGUGAAAGCCCGCGGCUCAACCUCGGGUCUGCAGUGGGUACGGGCAGACUAGAGUGCGGUAGGGGAGAUUGGAAUUCCUGGUGUAGCGGUGGAAUGCGCAGAUAUCAGGAGGAACACCGAUGGCGAAGGCAGAUCUCUGGGCCGUUACUGACGCUGAGGAGCGAAAGCAUGGGGAGCGAACAGG